CCUGUCGUCUUCCUUGCCCAGCCCAAAUGAAUGUUUGGGGCCGCAUCCUUUCUAGUGAGCUGGGAAGUUGUCAGCGCGUGUAACAUUGGAGCCAGGCGGGGACCCAGAGCGGGGCGGGAUGAAGCUGCUGGGCGUCGCGCUGCUGGCCGCUGCCUUGCUCGGCACCCUCGUCUGGGCCAAGGAGACGCUGUGGGGGGACGGGCACCCCCAGACCUGCUUCUUCGAGCUGUUGAGCAGCCUGGACAACAAGUUCUGCAGGUGAGCGGCUCCCACUUUCCUUUCUAUGCUACACCGGGGCCUUGCAGAAACGCCUGGUGCAAGCCCCAGCGCGUGCAACGGGGUAAGGCUCGCCCAGUCUCGGGCUGCCCUCGUGAGCCUGGCGCGCCAGCUCCUGGGACAGCUAAUUCCCAUAUCCCCUCUGCCGGGGCUGUAAACGCCGAUGGCUUCCCCCUUUUGCUGGGAAGCAGCAAAGGAGCCCGGUAAAGCGGUGCCCGCGGUGCUGCCCGGCUUUAUGCAAGCUGGGAUCCUGCAGUCUCUGGUCCGUGUUGCAGCGUCUGAUAAAAGGCCUUGCACAGUCCAAGCUGAUGGAGAUAACAAAUGUUUCCCGCAGCAAACUUCAGCAGAAGGAGG
Molecule: long non-coding RNA, 630 nt
Filed under: Struthio camelus australis
Lineage: Eukaryota; Metazoa; Chordata; Aves; Struthioniformes; Struthionidae
Description: lncRNA (ENSSCUG00000011600.1)
Source: RNAcentral